UCCACACCAGACCGACCAUUAAGUGAUAAAUAAAAUGGUUUUGGGUAAGUUAAUUACCCAUGGGUCUUAUCAGACCCAUAGACCCAAUAAUAUCCAUUACCAAACUUAAAAAAGACCAAAAAAGCCCAUGGUCUCAAACUCUCAAAUCUCAAUUUGAAAAUUGGAUCUGCACGCAGCGUCGCAGCCGCUUCACGCUCACCUCAAUUCCUCCGCCGCCGCUGCUCGCCUCCGCCGCCGAUUGGUGUCGCCUCGCUGCUGAUUGUUGUC
This 267-nucleotide long non-coding RNA is filed under the name Salvia miltiorrhiza (redroot sage). RNAcentral's name for it is "long non-coding RNA (SMIL_LNC004123)". Lineage: Eukaryota; Viridiplantae; Streptophyta; Magnoliopsida; Lamiales; Lamiaceae. The record is from RNAcentral.